GUGAACGCUGGCGGUAGGCCUAACACAUGCAAGUCGAACGGCAGCACAGUAAGAGCUUGCUCUUACGGGUGGCGAGUGGCGGACGGGUGAGGAAUACAUCGGAAUCUACUUUUUCGUGGGGGAUAACGUAGGGAAACUUACGCUAAUACCGCAUACGACCUACGGGUGAAAGCAGGGGAUCUUCGGACCUUGCGCGAUUGAAUGAGCCGAUGUCGGAUUAGCUAGUUGGCGGGGUAAAGGCCCACCAAGGCGACGAUCCGUAGCUGGUCUGAGAGGAUGAUCAGCCACACUGGAACUGAGACACGGUCCAGACUCCUGCGGGAGGCAGCAGUGGGGAAUAUUGGACAAUGGGCGCAAGCCUGAUCCAGCCAUACCGCGUGGGUGAAGAAGGCCUUCGGGUUGUAAAGCCCUUUUGUUGGGAAAGAAAAGCAGCAGGUUAAUACCCCGCUGUUCUGACGGUACCCAAAGAAUAAGCACCGGCUAACUUCGUG
Molecule: ribosomal RNA, 491 nt
Filed under: uncultured bacterium
Lineage: Bacteria
Description: partial 16S ribosomal RNA
Rfam family: Bacterial small subunit ribosomal RNA
Source: RNAcentral